RNAcentral lists this ribosomal RNA (399 nucleotides) under uncultured bacterium. RNAcentral describes it as "bacterial SSU rRNA". It matches the Rfam family "Bacterial small subunit ribosomal RNA", at positions 509 to 904 of the family's 1533-position model. The record is from RNAcentral.
CAGCAGCCGCGGUAAUACGUAGGAUCCGAGCGUUAUCCGGAGUGACUGGGCGUAAAGAGUUGCGUAGGCGGUUAGUAAAGCGAAUAGUGAAACCUGGUGGCUCAACCAUACAGACUAUUAUUCGAACUCACUAACUCGAGAAUGGUAGAGGUAACUGGAAUUUCUUGUGUAGGAGUGAAAUCCGUAGAUAUAAGAAGGAACACCAAUGGCGUAGGCAGGUUACUGGACCAUUUCUGACGCUAAGGCACGAAAGCGUGGGGAGCGAACCGGAUUAAAUACCCGGGUAGUCCACGCCGUAAACGAUGGAUACUAGCUGUUGGAGGUAUCGACCCCUUCAGUAACGAAGCUAACGCGUGAAGUUGACCGCCUGGGGAGUACGGCCGCAAGGCUAAAACUCAA